CCUGUAAUCCCAGCACUUUGGGAGGAUGAGGAGGGUGGAUCACGAGGUGAGGAGAUCAAAAUCAUUCUGGCUAACACAGUGAAACCUGUGUCUAC
Molecule: long non-coding RNA, 95 nt
Organism: Sapajus apella (tufted capuchin)
Lineage: Eukaryota; Metazoa; Chordata; Mammalia; Primates; Cebidae
Exons: 2
Source: RefSeq, a predicted model, not a curated record